GGCUGUGCCCGCGUGGGUGUGAGAGGAGAAGUUGUAGAAGAGCAGUGUAUUUAGCAAAGUGCAAAGCACUGACCGCAAGGAAAAGGUGUGGUGUUUAUGGUUUCCCCCACAAAAGUCCAUCUAUGAAAGUGGAAGAUGUUGUGUCUUCAGGGGCUUUUUUCAGCCUGGCUAUGUGAAUUAUGGACGCAAUUUUUUUUUCUUCUCUGUGUCUCUGGUGCAUUUAGGUUAGUAAGUCUGUGUGUGGCAUGCUCUGAAGUCAUAAAAGUAAUACAUAGCAGAGCAGUGGUAGCUUGUGUGGGACCAAAGAGCUUGUCACAGCACUGCGCAAGCAAAGAUGGCUGAAAGUGUUGAGUUGCAGGGUGCCUCUUGCCAGGUGUUGGCACUUGCUGUGCAUUGCAUUUGUCCACUUGGCAACAAGUUCUGGAUGCAAAAAUAUUCUUUUGCUUUCUUUGAACAUACAGGAGAGGUGGGCUGACCCUGAACAACCAGACAUGCUAUGUGCUUGCUUCCUGCCUUGUUAGGACAGCGGAGAGAACUGGAGUGGCAGACACAAAAUAGAAGUCGUGAGUCAAGAUUAAAAAAAAAAAAAAGUCAGUAAAUUAAAGGGGAGAGAAAAAGAAGUAAGAAUGGGGGAGAAAAUUAUGCAAUGACUUUAUUUAAGAUUUGGCAGUGGACAUGAGAGUGUUUUGCUGGAGAUCUUCACCUACGUGAGGCCUUCUAAAGCGCACUGUCUUGGUGAGCAUUUGCCUGCAUUCCCAAGGAGGCUAAUCCAUCCUAGAUACAGUACGUGUAACUUCCGGGAAGUCUAAAGUGCUUCAACGAUAAGGAACGUG
This 833-nucleotide long non-coding RNA is filed under the name Gallus gallus (chicken). RNAcentral's name for it is "lncRNA (ENSGALG00010015499.1)". Lineage: Eukaryota; Metazoa; Chordata; Aves; Galliformes; Phasianidae. The record is from RNAcentral.